This 468-nucleotide ribosomal RNA is filed under the name uncultured bacterium. RNAcentral's name for it is "partial 16S ribosomal RNA". It matches the Rfam family "Bacterial small subunit ribosomal RNA", at positions 28 to 507 of the family's 1533-position model. The record is from RNAcentral.
GACGAACGCUGGCGGCGUGCUUAACACAUGCCAGUCGAACGAUGAUGCCAGCUUGCUGGUGGAUUAGUGGCGAACGGGUGAGUAACACGUGAGCAACCUGCCCCUGACUUCGGGAUAACCGCGGGAAACCGUGGCUAAUACCGGAUAUGACGCGCUAUCGCAUGGUGGUGUGUGGAAAGAUUUAUCGGUUGGGGAUGGGCUCGCGGCCUAUCAGCUUGUUGGUGGGGUGAUGGCCUACCAAGGCGACGACGGGUAGCCGGCCUGAGAGGGUGACCGGCCACACUGGGACUGAGACACGGCCCAGACUCCUACGGGAGGCAGCAGUGGGGAAUAUUGCACAAUGGGCGCAAGCCUGAUGCAGCGACGCCGCGUGAGGGAUGACGGCCUUCGGGUUGUAAACCUCUUUCAGUAGGGAAGAAGGCCUUCGGGUUGACGGUACCUGCAGAAGAAGCGCCGGCUAACUACGUG